Long non-coding RNA from Salvelinus namaycush (lake trout), 729 nucleotides. RefSeq lists it as uncharacterized. The transcript has 3 exons. The record is from RefSeq and is a predicted model, not a curated record. Lineage: Eukaryota; Metazoa; Chordata; Actinopteri; Salmoniformes; Salmonidae.
CAAAACGGUAAUCUUGGUAGACUCAUUACCAUUGAAGUGUAGGUGUAGGAGGCAAACAUCUCCAUGUUGAUCAUCCGGUUGAUUGCAGCUUCGCAAUCGUGGUGAUAGUUCUGACGGAUCUGAGACUCCAUUUUGGCAGAUAUUCUUUUUUAUCAAAAUGAAAAGUACAAAAAUAAAGUUCCUUCGACUAUUUUGCUAUUACAGUUAGAGUAAGUGUUACGUUAUCAAUGCGGGACAAAGGCAGAGGAGUUCCGUUCAAUCACUGUUGAAGCAAGAACUUCUUCAUGCGUCUUCCCAGACUUGUGAAAUGGAAGGAGCCUUGCUCGCUCUAUUUAUUGUUCCAAACGGAACGCGUCAGUGAAAUCCACCCUCACAGAGCGUAGCCAAUCACCAUUAGAAUUUCAACAGGAACUAGGCGGAUCAUUUGAUGACGAUCCCACUCAUACACAUGACAUAAAGCGAAGAGUAUUUAUUAUAUUGACAAGAGAGCCGAGUGACCAAUCUAACAAUGGAUGUUAGACAUGUGCUCAACGAUUGAAGACAGGCAAGAUCAGGUGGGACCAUUCUAGCCAAUGAAAGUGCAGAACCACCUGCAACUGGACACCGACAUGUAUAAGAUAACUGGUUUCCAGAAUUGGGAACGAAGACAGUACUGCCAAUACCAGCACCAUCAGCUGUCCAUUUCCAAUUGAUUGUGCCGCGACUGCUGCUUCAAGUUUCAGCAACACA